RNAcentral lists this long non-coding RNA (435 nucleotides) under Manihot esculenta (cassava). Its description in RNAcentral is "long non-coding RNA (MESC_LNC009800)". Lineage: Eukaryota; Viridiplantae; Streptophyta; Magnoliopsida; Malpighiales; Euphorbiaceae. The record is from RNAcentral.
UUUGUCAUUUUUGACCUUUUUUUUAAUUUUUAAUCUCAACCAUUAAUUUUCUAACCAUAAAUUCAUUCUUUACAAUUAAACAACCCUAACUAAUGCUUUAACCAUUAUUCUACCCGCCCUCUCUUCUCCCUUCUUCUCUUCUUCCUCUUCCAUUUUUGUCUUCCUCUUCCACAUUCGAUCAAAAUCAAAGCCGGAGAAUCAGCAACAUCUUGCGCCUCGCACAGCAGCAACGAUGUCGCGCCUCACAGCAGCAACAGCAGCGACGUCGCCCUCCAGCAGCAGCAGUGAUGCACAAAGCAACUCCAUCUGCCAUCGAUUAGCAGCAACAUGGCACCGUCGUUGCACGACACCAGCCUUUGUACCGUCGCACGAAGCACAACGUUUUGAAUGUUUCUUUCUUAUCUGGGGCAUUCCUUUGUUGUUUGCAAUGUUACU